UGUAAGCGUAUACCAAAGUUGUUGCAGUUAAAACGCUCGUAGUCGGAAUUUGGCAGUUCCGGAUGUGUGCACGUCGUGUGCGCACUUCGCGGGGAUUGCUUUUGUGGUCUUGCGUAGGAUGAGGCACUUUUAUUAGUGAACGUCCUCACGCAACCACUUUUUACUGUGAGAAAAUCAGAGUGCUCAAAGCAGGCAUUUGCCGUGAAUGUAUUAGCAUGGAAUAAUAGAAUAGGACUUGGUUCUAUUUUGUUGGUUUGUUGGGACUGAGUAAUGAUUAAGAGGGACAGUUGGGGGCAUUUGUAUUUCGGUGCUAGAGGUGAAAUACUUAGAUUACCGAAAGACAAACUGCUGCGAAAGCGUCUGCCAAGGAUGUUUUCAUUGA
Molecule: ribosomal RNA, 382 nt
Filed under: uncultured eukaryote
Lineage: Eukaryota
Description: partial 18S ribosomal RNA
Rfam family: Eukaryotic small subunit ribosomal RNA
Source: RNAcentral